UUAAGUUCAGCGGGUAUUCCUACCUGAUCCGAGGUCAACCUUUGGUACGUGGGGGGUUUUACGGCAGGCGCCCGCCGCGCUCCCGGAGCGAGAGGUAUGCUACUACGCUCGGUUGCGACAGCGAGCCCGCCACUGGAUCAGGCCUGCGGCAGCCGCAGGUCCCCAACACAAGCCGGGGGCUUGAUGGUUGAAAUGACGCU
This 200-nucleotide unclassified non-coding RNA is filed under the name Lasiosphaeriaceae sp. Its description in RNAcentral is "partial internal transcribed spacer 2". The record is from RNAcentral. Lineage: Eukaryota; Fungi; Ascomycota; Sordariomycetes; Sordariales; Lasiosphaeriaceae.